AGAAAGAUAAGCUAAAUUAAGCUAUUAGGUUCAUACCCUAGGUAUAGAAUUGUUAUUCUUUUUUCUA
RNAcentral lists this transfer RNA (67 nucleotides) under Mileewa sharpa. RNAcentral's name for it is "tRNA-Met". The record is from RNAcentral. Lineage: Eukaryota; Metazoa; Arthropoda; Insecta; Hemiptera; Cicadellidae.